This 633-nucleotide ribosomal RNA is filed under the name Triticum aestivum (bread wheat). Its description in RNAcentral is "partial small subunit ribosomal RNA". The record is from RNAcentral. Lineage: Eukaryota; Viridiplantae; Streptophyta; Magnoliopsida; Poales; Poaceae.
AUGGCUAAAAAUAAAAUGAAGACUAUGGAUUCUUUCUAUAAGAAGAAAAUUAGACUUGAUGAGGCAUUGGUUUCAGAUGUUUCUUGUCCUGAUUUGGAAGAAGCAGAGGGAGGGGGAGGGGGAGAGGAGCAGGAAGAAGAAAAAGAAGAAGAUGGAGGGGAGGAGGAGCAACCUGUUGAGGAGGAGGAAGAAGAAGAGGCUCCACUUAUAAUUAAUAGGGUCAAUGAUGGUAGUGGUGUUCUGGUAGUGGAAAGAGACCCAGGGCUGCGUUGCCAACUUUGGGAUCGUCCUGUCAAUGACCAAGAGAAAGCAAGAAAAGCGUAUGUGAAGUGUGGAGCAUAUCACUUUAAAAAGGAAAUAUACCCUCCUACUGGUCCAGAAAGCCACCCACGCAUGUUUCAAUAUCAUUGGUUCAAGGCAUUUCCUUGGUUAGAAUACUCACCUACAGAAAAUGCAGUCUUUUGCUUUCUAUGUUUUCUAUUUUCUAAGAAGCCACUUGGGAAAGUUGGAUCAGAUGUGUUCACUGUGAAAGGGUUCAAGAAUUGGAGAAAGGUUAACAAACAGGAAAGAAACAAUUUGAGAUGUCAACUACAACAUUAUGAGCUUGAUGUACCUACAAAUCCAAGGUUUUAG